RNAcentral lists this ribosomal RNA (497 nucleotides) under uncultured bacterium. Its description in RNAcentral is "partial 16S ribosomal RNA". It matches the Rfam family "Bacterial small subunit ribosomal RNA", at positions 28 to 507 of the family's 1533-position model. The record is from RNAcentral.
GAUGAACGCUGGCGGCGUGCCUAAUACAUGCAAGUCGAGCGAACAGACGAGGAGCUUGCUCCUCUGACGUUAGCGGCGGACGGGUGAGUAACACGUGGAUAACCUACCUAUAAGACUGGGAUAACUUCGGGAAACCGGAGCUAAUACCGGAUAAUAUAUUGAACCGCAUGGUUCAAUAGUGAAAGACGGUUUUGCUGUCACUUAUAGAUGGAUCCGCGCCGCAUUAGCUAGUUGGUAAGGUAACGGCUUACCAAGGCAACGAUGCGUAGCCGACCUGAGAGGGUGAUCGGCCACCCGGGAACGGAGACACGGUCAAGACUCCUACGGGAGGCAGCAGUAGGGAAUCUUCCGCAAUGGGCGAAAGCUUGACGGAGCAACGCCGCGUGAGUGAUGAAGGUCUUCGGAUCGUAAAACUCUGUUAUUAGGGAAGAACAAAUGUGUAAGUAACUAUGCACGUCUUGACGGUACCUAAUCAGAAAGCCACGGCUAACUACGUG